GAUGAACGCUGGCGGCGUGCCUAAUACAUGCAAGUCGAGCGAACGGACGAGAAGCUUGCUUUUCUGAUGUUAGCGGCGGACGGGUGAGUAACACGUGGAUAACCUACCUAUAAGACUGGGAUAACUUCGGGAAACCGGAGCUAAUACCGGAUAAUAUUUUGAACCGCAUGGUUCAAAAGUGAAAGACGGUCUUGCUGUCACUAAUAGAUGGAUCCCGGCUGCAUGAGCUAGUUGGUAAGGUAACGGCUUACCAGGGCAACGAUGCCUAGACGACCUGAGAGAGGGAUCGGCCACCCGGGAACGGAGACAGGCUCAAUAGGACUACGGGAGGCACCAGACGGGAACGUGCGGCAGUGGGCGAAAGUCUGACGGAGUAAGGCGGCGUGAGUGAUAAAGGUCUCGGGAGCGUAAAACUGUGUUAUGGGUGAAAAACAGAUGUCUAAGGAACCGUACACUUCUUGACGGUAAUGAAUAAGAAAGCACCGGCUAACUACGUG
This 497-nucleotide ribosomal RNA is filed under the name uncultured bacterium. RNAcentral describes it as "partial 16S ribosomal RNA". It matches the Rfam family "Bacterial small subunit ribosomal RNA", at positions 28 to 507 of the family's 1533-position model. The record is from RNAcentral.